GGUCGCUUAGCUCAGCUGGGAGAGCACCUGCCUUACAAGCAGGGGGUCAGAGGUUCGAGCCCUCUAGCGACCA
This is a transfer RNA of Epulopiscium sp. Nele67-Bin005, 73 nucleotides long. It matches the Rfam family "tRNA". Rfam says of the family: Transfer RNA (tRNA) molecules are approximately 80 nucleotides in length. Their secondary structure includes four short double-helical elements and three loops (D, anti-codon, and T loops). Lineage: Bacteria; Bacillati; Bacillota; Clostridia; Lachnospirales; Lachnospiraceae. The record is from Rfam.